This is a non-coding RNA of Paramuricea clavata, 297 nucleotides long. The record is from the annotation of a GenBank genome assembly. NCBI's taxonomy places the organism in Eukaryota, Metazoa, Cnidaria, Anthozoa, Malacalcyonacea, Plexauridae.
GUCACAAACAUAAAUUUCGGUAUGAUACGACGGAAAAUUUUCCUCAGGAGAAAUUUCUCCCCCCCCCCUCCCCCCGUCGACAACAUUUCCGGGAAAAAUUUUUUAGGUGCCCUUUCCGAUAGUAAUGUGCCCCUACAAGCCGGUGCCCCCCCAAACUCCAGGUGCUUCCUACGCCCCUGCUCUGUGGCAUGAGCUUGGACGUGCGUAUACAGUACGUGUUGGGCACAAAAUGGCGAUGAAGUAUUCCCGAAUGGAAGGCGUUGAAACUCAUACACAUCUGGUUCUCUUGCAGUCUCG